CGCCACCUGGAAAGGAUCCAAUGAGAGGCGUUGCUGCGCUAGAGGGGGCUCAAGCCUUUUGGCCGUUGAGCGCCUCCCGGAAGUGCUCUUUGGUGGUCCGCCGUGAGACCAUCGACAAGCGUUUUUCACUUCUCUCUCUUUGAUUGGUGGCAGUUUGGCCUCUGGCAUAGCAGUUAAGACUCUACCUGGGACAUCUGCAUCAGACAUCAGCUUCCCUUCUGAUUCCAGCUUUCUCCUAAUGUGCACCCUGGCAGGCAGCUAUGAUGACUCAAGUAGUGGAGUCCCUGUCAGCCAGUGCUUCACCUACAGCUGCUGCAAGAUGAUGGUUGGGCUGGGUGUCUGCAAGCUACAUACAUUUCACACCUUUCCCUGACAGAUGACUUCCAGUAAGAUUGUGCCUACAGGAGGAACAGGGAGGAAAUCAGUAGGUGGAACAAUGGAAAGUAUUGUUUUUCUUCACUUUUACUUUGCUUCUGGCAUCCAAGGGAAUGGCUAUGUCCUGUACAAAGCCCACAAUCAGUUAAAGCUGUUUUCUCAAACCCCCAAUGUGGCCUCGUAGUAGUGGCCUUGCUUUUGAGCUCUGACAAUACAACCUUCUCUCUCUUAUGUAUACCAGCUUUAAGACUGGUAGCCACUUGCAGUUAGGAGUUUUUAUUUUAAUUUCACUUUCCCCUUUUGCUCUUCUACCCCCAUUAUCUGUGUAACCAUUUCUCUGUAGUAACUGGUGUCUGGUUAAAUUACUUUGAAUGAUUUCUGUUUUCCCACAUGGGAAUCUGACUGAUUAAAGAUGCAGAUGUGUA
Lepus europaeus (European hare) is the source of this 800-nucleotide long non-coding RNA. RefSeq lists it as uncharacterized. NCBI's taxonomy places the organism in Eukaryota, Metazoa, Chordata, Mammalia, Lagomorpha, Leporidae. The record is from RefSeq and is a predicted model, not a curated record. The transcript has 3 exons.